CCUAAGGGUGGCUGCAGUGGGGAAUAUUGGACAAUGGGCGAAAGCCUGAUCCAGCCAUGCCGCGUGUGUGAAGAAGGCCUUCGGGUUGUAAAGCACUUUCAGUGGGGAAGAAAGCCUUGGGGCUAAUACCCUCGAGGAAGGACAUCACCCACAGAAGAAGCACCGGCUAACUCCGUGCCAGCAGCCGCGGUAAUACGGAGGGUGCGAGCGUUAAUCGGAAUUACUGGGCGUAAAGCGCGCGUAGGCGGUCUGAUAAGCCGGUUGUGAAAGCCCCGGGCUCAACCUGGGAACGGCAUCCGGAACUGUCAGGCUAGAGUGCAGGAGAGGAAGGUAGAAUUCCCGGUGUAGCGGUGAAAUGCGUAGAGAUCGGGAGGAAUACCAGUGGCGAAGGCGGCCUUCUGGACUGACACUGACGCUGAGGUGCGAAAGCGUGGGUAGCAAACAGGAUUAGAUACCCUGGUAGUC
Molecule: ribosomal RNA, 465 nt
Filed under: Vreelandella stevensii
Lineage: Bacteria; Pseudomonadati; Pseudomonadota; Gammaproteobacteria; Oceanospirillales; Halomonadaceae
Description: partial 16S ribosomal RNA
Rfam family: Bacterial small subunit ribosomal RNA
Source: RNAcentral